RNAcentral lists this ribosomal RNA (478 nucleotides) under uncultured bacterium. RNAcentral describes it as "bacterial SSU rRNA". It matches the Rfam family "Bacterial small subunit ribosomal RNA", at positions 28 to 486 of the family's 1533-position model. The record is from RNAcentral.
GAUGAACGCUGGCGGCGUGCCUAACACAUGCAAGUCGAACGCGAAAGGGACUUCGGUCCUGAGUAAAGUGGCGCACGGGUGAGUAACGCGUGGGUAAUCUGCCCCUCAGUUGGGAAUAACCCAUCGAAAGGUGGGCUAAUACCGAAUAAUGCUGUAUCGCCUCGGUGAUUCAGCCAAAGACGGCCUCUGCUUGCAAGCUGUCGCUGAGAGAUGAGCCCGCGUACCAUUAGCUUGUUGGUGGGGUAAUGGCCUACCAAGGCGGCGAUGGUUAGCUGAUCUGAGAGGAUGAUCAGCCACACUGGAACUGAGACACGGUCCAGACUCCUACGGGAGGCAGCAGUGAGGAAUCUUGCGCAAUGGGGGAAACCCUGACGCAGCAACGCCGCGUGAGUGAGGAAGGCCUUCGGGUCGUAAAGCUCUGUCGGGUGGAAGAACGCAUGGGUGCUAAUACCAUCUAUGCUUGACGGUACCGCCAAGG